Non-coding RNA from Dipodomys ordii (Ord's kangaroo rat), 72 nucleotides. Lineage: Eukaryota; Metazoa; Chordata; Mammalia; Rodentia; Heteromyidae. The record is from Rfam.
GAGAAGGUGGCUCAGUGGUAGAGUACUUGCCUUGCAUGCAUGAGGCCCUGGGUUCAAUUCCUCAUCAACACA